RNAcentral lists this ribosomal RNA (509 nucleotides) under uncultured bacterium. Its description in RNAcentral is "bacterial SSU rRNA". It matches the Rfam family "Bacterial small subunit ribosomal RNA", at positions 335 to 842 of the family's 1533-position model. The record is from RNAcentral.
ACUCCUACGGGAGGCAGCAGUGAGGAAUAUUGGUCAAUGGGCGGGAGCCUGAACCAGCCAAGUCGCGUGAGGGAAGACGGUCCUAUGGAUUGUAAACCUCUUUUGCCGGGGAGCAACGGGGUCCUUGCGAGGGCCUGAUGAGAGUACCCGGAGAAAAAGCAUCGGCUAACUCCGUGCCAGCAGCCGCGGUAAUACGGAGGAUGCGAGCGUUAUCCGGAUUUAUUGGGUUUAAAGGGUGCGUAGGCGGGCUGUUAAGUCAGCGGUCAAAUGUCGGGGCUCAACCCCGGCCUGCCGUUGAAACUGGUGGCCUCGAGUGGGCGAGAAGUAUGCGGAAUGCGUGGUGUAGCGGUGAAAUGCAUAGAUAUCACGCAGAACUCCGAUUGCGAAGGCAGCAUACCGGCGCCCGACUGACGCUGAGGCACGAAAGCGUGGGUAUCGAACAGGAUUAGAUACCCUGGUAGUCCACGCAGUAAACGAUGAAUGCUAGCUGUCCGGGGCUUCGGUCCUGG